GUCCGCAACGAGCGCAACCCCUUUCUUUAGUUACCAUCAUUUAGUUGGGGACUCUAAAGAUACUGCCCCGGUUAACGGGGAGGAAGGUGGGGAUGACGUCAAGUCCUCAUGGCCUUUAUGCCUAGAGCUACACACGUGCUACAAUGGACUGUACAAAGGGUUGCCAGCCUGCGAAGUGAGCCAAUCCCAUAAAGCAGUUCGUAGUUCGGAUUGGAGUCUGCAACUCGACUCCAUGAAGCUGGAAUCGCUAGUAAUCGUGAUCAGAACGCCACGGUGAAUACGUUCCCGGGCCUUGUACACACCGCCCGUCACACCAU
This 317-nucleotide ribosomal RNA is filed under the name uncultured delta proteobacterium B2M44. RNAcentral describes it as "bacterial SSU rRNA". It matches the Rfam family "Bacterial small subunit ribosomal RNA", at positions 1085 to 1405 of the family's 1533-position model. The record is from RNAcentral. Lineage: Bacteria; Deltaproteobacteria.